RNAcentral lists this ribosomal RNA (350 nucleotides) under uncultured bacterium. RNAcentral describes it as "bacterial SSU rRNA". It matches the Rfam family "Bacterial small subunit ribosomal RNA", at positions 8 to 350 of the family's 1533-position model. The record is from RNAcentral.
AGAGUUUGAUCAUGGCUCAGGAUGAACGCUAGCUACAGGCUUAACACAUGCAAGUCGAGGGGCAGCAUGGUCUUAGCUUGCUAAGGCCGAUGGCGACCGGCGCACGGGUGAGUAACACGUAUCCAACCUGCCGUCUACUCUUGGACAGCCUUCUGAAAGGAAGAUUAAUACAAGAUGGCAUCAUGAGUUCACAUGUUCACAUGAUUAAAGGUAUUCCGGUAGACGAUGGGGAUGCGUUCCAUUAGAUAGUAGGCGGGGUAACGGCCACCUAGUCUUCGAUGGAUAGGGGUUCUGGAGAGGAAGGUCCCCCANAUUGGAACUGAGACACGGUCCAAACUCCUACGGAGGCA